This 461-nucleotide ribosomal RNA is filed under the name uncultured bacterium. Its description in RNAcentral is "bacterial SSU rRNA". It matches the Rfam family "Bacterial small subunit ribosomal RNA", at positions 923 to 1379 of the family's 1533-position model. The record is from RNAcentral.
GCACAAGCGGUGGAGCAUGUGGUUUAAUUCGACGCAACGCGCAGAACCUUACCAGCCCUUGACAUCCCGGUCGCGGACUCCAGAGACGGAGUUCUUCAGUUCGGCUGGACCGGAGACAGGUGCUGCAUGGCUGUCGUCAGCUCGUGUCGUGAGAUGUUGGGUUAAGUCCCGCAACGAGCGCAACCCUUAUCUUUAGUUGCCAUCAGGUCAAGCUGGGCACUCUAACGAAACCGCACAGGAUAACUGUGAGGAAGGUGGGGAUGACGUCAAGUCCUCAUGGCCUUUAUGUCCAGGGCUACACACGUGCUACAAUGGUCGGUACAAACCGUCGCAAACCUGCGAAGGGGAGCUAAUCGGAAAAAGCCGGCCUCAGUUCGGAUUGGAGUCUGCAACUCGACUCCAUGAAGCUGGAAUCGCUAGUAAUCGCAGAUCAGAACGCUGCGGUGAAUACGUUCCCGGGC